This 28-nucleotide small RNA is filed under the name Bombyx mori (domestic silkworm). RNAcentral describes it as "ovarian small RNA-23402". Lineage: Eukaryota; Metazoa; Arthropoda; Insecta; Lepidoptera; Bombycidae. The record is from RNAcentral.
UAUAGUCAAAAACUCCUUUAUAAUGCUC